This is a non-coding RNA of Zootermopsis nevadensis, 489 nucleotides long. NCBI's taxonomy places the organism in Eukaryota, Metazoa, Arthropoda, Insecta, Blattodea, Termopsidae. The record is from RefSeq and is a predicted model, not a curated record.
UCUAUGAAGUUCGUGGCAUAGAACGAGGCCAGUCUAAGUCGCAGUCUGACCUUGGCCGAAUAACAGCGCAGUUCUCCACGAAGAAAGUGUCGGGAAAUAUAAUACUGUACUACUGAACGCUUCAGAACUUUGAGUGAAGAUAUUUUCAGUGUUCCUUGACGACCUACUGAAUAUGUGUGUCUUGUAACAUGCUCGACACAUUGAAAGACCUACAUACUUUACAGCCGACAUCAAAGUAAGAAUUCCUAAUCAUGACAGGCGAGAGCACAUAAUUAUUUACAAAUGAAGACUGCGAAUUUAAUAAACUCUUUGGUCUCACUGCCCCUGUUGUGAGCUGCAUGAAUCCACUACACAUCCUCAACAUACUAUUAUUUUAGAACCCACUUCAUUUUAUUAUUCUCUCAUCUACACGUAGGUCUCCAAAGUGACCCCUUACCUUCUUGUUUCCGACCAAAUUUGAUGCGAACUUCUUAUAUUGUUGUAUACUAG